UUGUUGUACUAGUACUACUAUUACUUUUCUCAGUUUACAAAAUACCUAAUAAGUUCUGUUAUUAAUGGAUCCAUGCACAAGUUUUUUGCCUCUAUUAAUGGAAAUUUGAAAGGUACUCUUCAUAUUUUCUAUUUUUUUUUUUUACUUAUGAUGUUUCAUUAAAAGUUUUAUGUACAUGUGUGUGUUGUGUGUGUGUGUUUUUGGUAUAAUCAUUUGUAUUCGAAAUUUACUGAACCGAUUAAUUCAGAUUUGUGUCGUGUAUUAAGAUCGAAGCUUUGUGUAUAGUUAUGGGUUCAGUAGAAUGAAGUAAUAAGUGGUACUAUAGCUAAACACAGUGAAAAGCGGUCAGUUGAACGUCCUUCAUUAGAAAUUAUAACGAGUGGUAUAGCUACACAUAAUGAAAGGCGGUUAGUUGAAUGCCCUUCAUCAGAAAUUAUGACGAAUGGUAUAGCUACACAUAAUGAAAGGAGGUCAGUUGAAUACCCUUCAUCAGAAAUUAUAACAAGAAGUGGUAUAGCUACACACAAUGAAAGACGGUCAGUUGAACGCCUUUCAUCAGAAAUCAUAACGAGUGGUAUAGCUACACGCAAUGAAAGACGAUCAGUUCAUCGAAGUCCUUCAUCACAAAUUAUAUUGUACUAUAUAAAUAAGAAAAUACAGUACAAUAAACCUUGUUAGGCAGAAAGUAUACUACUUAUACAUUGCUAAAAUUCGACGCAGAUUAGGUAUAAUUACAUAGAAAGUAUAAAAAUUGGUAUAAGCUUUAAAAACACACAGAAAGAAACCAAAAGGAUAGCUGAGUGCUUUAGUUUUCAGGCGGAAUCUUAAAUCUUUGAGCGUUAAUAUGUUUGUUCGAAUCUCACGAACACCGACGAUCCCUAAAUCCUAGGUCCGCCACUUUCUACAAACAAAACCGGAGUCAGGAUCUUCAUGAAGGGGGUUCAAAAUUUGAAGAAAAACUAAUAAAAGAAAGGUUGAUAUCUAUUAUAUAUAAAUAAAAUAUAAUUUAGUGAUGUAUAAAUAGUAUAAUUUUUCGUCGAAAGGGAUUUGGUGAAUCCCCGUUCCAAAGACUGGUCCCGCCCCUGCCUACAAAGUACGGUCGGAAGAGAGUAGAGUGCAUACACACUGUAACUCUAUGCUAAAAGUAUAAUAACAAUAAUAUAAUUAAUAUAAUCAUAUAAAUAAACUCUGAAGAGGAUAGAAUAUACGUAUAUCGUAACUAUAUGCUAAAAAUGGAGGGCUCAAUUGAAUUCACAUUGCAACACUCCAUGUUAUACAUGGCAGUGAUAAAAAAGACAAAUAAAUACAGAAAAAGUAGGGUUUUUUCUCAGAAAAAAAAAAAAAUCUGUUCUGAAAAUGAUUGAUAUCUGUGCAUAUAUAUAUAUAAUAACUUAUUUAGUUAAUUUUUUUUUUUGUCAAUAUUUAUAAUAUAUAGUAUUGAAUUUUAUCUACAUAUAGAGUUCUUUGAUUAAUAAUUCUUUGGUAAAAUGAUUUUCUGCACUCCUGUACUAUAUCGUUUUUAUAAGUUGGACGCUUUUACUUACACAUUUAUUAUCUGGACCCUUGAACCCAUCAUUUAGGUUUCCAUCAGUUUCUUGAGUUCUAUUUUGGUGUACAAUAAUUGAUCUACCAAUUAGUUAACAUUUAAUUUCUUACCUUUUAAUGGUUUCUUAGAUAAAGAACUAUAAUUAUUUUCCCUAUUUUAGUAAGUCCCAACUCUUUGUUUAAUUGUUUUUUUUUUUUUGGUUUUGUGACACAUACUUUAAAAAAUACUAAAUAAUAAGAAUAGUUUAACUAUAUCACCUUUUAAAACAUGCUCCCUCCGUUUCAUUUUACUCGUCCUAAAUUAGGAUGACACAGCCAUUAAGAAAAAUAAUAAAUAAUAUGGCUAGUUUACCAUUGUACUCCUAUUAAAUGAUGUUUACAUUUUAAUUUAAAGAAAAAGUAAUUGAUGCAAAGGGUAAAAUAUGAAAAAAAAAUUGUCUUGUCUUAAUAAGUAAAAAAGGACAAGUAAAAUGGGACACUAGAUUAGGAAAUUUGGGACGGGUAAAAUGAGACGGAGAGAGUAAUUUAUUAGUAAUAAUUUAACUAUAUCACCUUUUAAAACAUAAUUUAUUAGUAAUAAUUUAACUAUAUCACUUCACGUUUCGGAAUUUUUAGUAGUAAGGGCUCGAACACCAUCAAUCACUCGAAAUAAAAUGUCAAGACUAAAGCUCACGAUACGCAUUGUUCGCUUUGGUAUAACAGGCCUCACAAAUACGUCUCGGACUUACGUCGUCAUUGAGCUCAAAAGCAGCAUACCAGGUAAAUUCGUGUUAUGUCUUAUAAAACUCUUAAUUUUCCUAUCUCAUUCUGGUAUAAGAUUCGUCUAAGAUAUAAUACAUAUUCCUUCUUCAAAAGCUUGCCACUGUAACCUACUUAUUUUGACUCAUCUAAAUUCAAUCCGACUCGUCAAUUUGACACCUCUAUUGUAAAAUAUAUACAAAUAGAAAACAAGUUUUAAUUUUAUUUUUUUUCUCAUAGUGUUUGUACUAGCAACUUGUAUCAUUCAAAGUUUCACCAAAUAAUAAUAAUAAUACAUUUAAUAGAAAAAUAUUUUACUAAAGUGAGACAAAGUUUAAAAUCCUUGACCUAAUUGAACAGAAGGCAGAAAUCUAAUACAGUAAAUAAGAGAUUUCACAUCAUAAUAAAUUUGUCAUCAGUUAUUUUACUGUUCUAACAGAUGUUAGUAAAUGAAAAUAGGGUAGUUGAAAAAAAAAUGAAAAUAAAGUAGGAAAAAAAUGAAUUUUUAUUUUUUUCUCACCUGGCGUUCGAUAUUCGUAACAAAGUUCAUUAAAUCCAAAUUCAUGCUACACUCUCUCACAAAGGCGAUUUUGUAAUCAGGGAGACUCGAAGCCUUAUAUUAGUUCACUUAAGUUUGUACCACUUAUAUAUUAUACUAGCGCGAAUUUAAAAUUUGAAAUUUAUACGUAUGUGGAUCCCUCUCUUUUUUUUUUGAAUCGCUAAUUAUUUUAUCUUGAUGUACCCGCACUUUAGUAUCACAUCAGCACGAAAGGGUAAUAAAAAUUUAUUAAAAUUGAGUUCAAGAGAUAAUAGUACUCAUGCAAAGUUGGAGUGUAUCGUAACAACUUUGAUCAUAAUUCCGAAGUUACCGAAUUUUUUUAUCUCUUAUAGUGGGACCCAAUUUUUCAAACCUUUGGGACCCACAAACACUUAUUAUAUUUGACUAAAAAGAGUCAAACAACAAAAACCAAGAUUAUUGGGAAAAGUAGCUAAUUAGCAAUCUUGUUAAUUAGGUGCUAUAACCCAACAAAUGAAUAUUAGGCCACAAAAAAAAACAUUAUUCUUGGAUUUUGCUAUGGCGAUAGUCUCGAGAAAACAUAAAUUAAAAGAAGAUUUUAAAAAUAAAUAUUUUCUCCGUCUGAUUUUAUGUGUCGUUAUUUUUUUUAUUAUUAAUAUAUUUUUUUAUUUGAUAAUUAUUUAAAAAUAUAAUUUUACUUUUAUCCGUAUUACUCCACUUAUUAGGCCUCAUUUAAUUAAAGAUAAUAAUCAUACAUUUUUUUUAAAAGUAUAAUUUGAUAAACGUCAUCAAGUCUUUUUUUAUUAUUAAACUUUGUAUUCGAUCAAACUAUGACACAUAAAAUGAAAUGAAUGAAUAAUAUUUUCUCUAUUAAUUUUACUUAUCCACUAUUAACUUGACACAUAUUUUUAAAAACAAUAAAUAAUUAAGAUAAUUUUUAUUUUUACUUUAGAAAAUAUAUUAAGUAAUAAUAAUAUUUACUACUACGAAUAAAAUAGAUAUAAAAUUAUAAAUUACUCUUAAAUUUAUUAUUUUUUUAAAGUAAAUAAAUAUUAUUCAUACUCUAUGAAGAGUAACUUAUUUUGAAUUUUCUUGAGAUUGAUGCCCUUUUAGUCAGUAUAGUCAGGUCUUCUCUCAUUAAAAAAACUUGUAGUACUAUACAUAUAAAAUAUACACUACUCAAAAGCUGCAAGAAAUAAUACUGUUUGAAUUAGUGUUAACAUAUUUUUUUUUUUUUUAAAAAUAAAAUAAUAAUAAUGUGAACUUGCUUUUUAUUUUUAUUUUUUCCAUCUCGUAUAUCUAUAUUGAAUCUCUGCUAAAUUCAAAUUGACGUUAGAAAAUUUCACAAUUGGAAGGAAAGCAACUAUAUAUUCAUUACUAUCGUUGUUUAUUUUUUAUUGUUUAGUAUUGACUUAACAUACUUAAAAUAAUAAAUAAAAUGAUAAUUUACUAAUAUGUCACUCUUUUAAAAUAAUAAAUUUAAUAUUUUACGAAUUUAUUAUUAAUUAUUAAUUAUUUUUCUUAAUGAAUCUGCUAAGUCAAAAUAUGAGAAAUAAAGUCAAACAGAGGGAGUAGUAGUAGUUUUUUCUUUUUUUUUUUUUGAGAAAAUAUAUUGUUUUACCCUAAACUAUAAAAGAAAUUGCUGAGACAUAUCAGAAUUUUAGGAGGGUUCUAUUACACUCUGGACUAAUUAAAAUCGUAUUUUUAGCAAUCUUAAUGCCUACGUGGUACAUACGUGUGCUUACGUGAAUCUUCAAUGUGUUAAUUUACUGAUGUGUCACUAGGCACUAAGAUUGUCAAAAUUAUAAUUUUAAUUAGUCCAAAAGAUAAUAGGAUCCUCCUAAAAUUUGAAUGUGUCUCAGACUCUUAGCAAUUUCAUGUAUAGUAAACAGUGAUUUUUUUAUUUUUUGUUUAUUUUUGGUUGAACCUCCCUUUCUUGAAUUUGGUAUAUGAAUCAAUAUCUAGGGAGCAUAGAAAGGAAAAAUGUGUAAUUAAUGACGGGGAUAUAUAAAUAAAGAAAAGUAAAAUAAUAAGAGAGAGAUUGCUUGUGCAAAUCUAGAUAAAUUGGGAAAUGGAAAGUGAAAAAUUAGGUUUCUACCCUUACUUGCUUUUGUUUCUUGUUUUGUUUUGGAAAAAUGAUCCAAGGGUGGGUGUGCUCUUUUGGGGUGGCUCAAAUCUAGGUGGCAUGCUUGGUGAAAUUUCGAUAAUAAAAAAGAUAUUUUUGAGUCAAAUAUUAAGAAAAAAUAUCGUUUUCAUCUUAAAUUAUAUCCGAAAAGUUGAAGACACACCUAAACUAUACUAGUGAUCUUUUACACACCUAAACUAUAAAAAAAGUGAUAUUUUUUACCCCCUAGAUCUGACGUGAAAAAAAUAUAAUUAAUAAAAUAAAAAAUGACACGUCUACAUAAAAAAUAAAAAUAAUGAAAAAAAUAAUAAAAAAUAAAAAACUUCCCUCCCCCACCCACAAACAUCUUCUUCAUCACCCUCACCCCAAAAAUCAAACUCCACCCUCAACCAACAAAUCUUCUUCAUCACCCUCACCCCAAAAAUCAAACUCCACCCUCAACCAACAAAUCUUCUUCAUCACCCUCACCCCAAAAAUCAAACUCCACCCUCAACCAACAAAUCUUCUUCAUCACCCCCAACCCCAAAUAAGCAAUUUCUUCACACCCCAUCCUCCACCUUCAUCGAAUCAAUAUCAAUUUCAUCAUAAAAAUAAUAAAUUUAUUAUUUUUUCGGAUGAUGCUGAUGUGGCAGCGCGUGUAAAAUACCACAUAACAUGCAAGUGGUGUAAUGCCUGACAGGGUGUAAAAAGUAUCACUUUUUUAUAAUUAAGGUGUGUAAUAGGUCACUAGCAUAGUUUAGGUGUGGCUUAGACUUUUCGGGUAUAGUUUGAGGUGGAAACGAUGCCGAAUUUCACCUUCCAAUUCAUUCAUUUUCCAAUUCAAAUAUGAUAACAACAAUGAGACUUUGAUGUUUGCUAAAGAGAACAAAAGUAUAAAAAAAAAAUUGUAGGUGAUGAAGAACAUUGUUAAAAGUUGCGCUUGAAGUUCCUUGGUUUGGAAGAAUUUCUAGAUGAUAGCCACUUCAUCAAUUUGGAAUCUGCUUUGGUUGUAGAGAAUGUCUUGUACCAACAGAGACUGGGCAUUGAAGAAAAAAAAUGACCUUAUGGAGGAUUUGGGCAGUGAAGAAGAAGAAGAAAAAAAUUAAAUUUAAAAGAAAAAAGAAAAAUUUAUGAAAAUAAUAAAUUUAUUAUUUUUUCGGAUGAUGCUGAUGUGGCAGCGCGUGUAAAAUACCACAUAACAUGCAAGUGGUGUAAUGCCUGACAGGGUGUAAAAAGUAUCACUUUUUUAUAAUUAAGGUGUGUAAUAGGUCACUAGCAUAGUUUAGGUGUGGCUUAGACUUUUCGGGUAUAGUUUGAGGUGGAAACGAUGCCCUUUUCCGAAAAAUAUUUAACGGAGGAAUAUUUUUGAGUAAAAAAACUAACGAGGGGUAUUUUUGAUCCAUUUCAGAUAGUUCCUUUUUCGAAUUCCGUUAAAGGAAGGAGUAUUUUUGAGUCAAAUAUUUAACGGAGGGGUAUUUUUGAGACAAAAAUCUAAAGAAGGGUAUUUUUGAGCCUUUUCCGUAUUAUCUUUAUCCUUAUGAAUGAGUUUCUUCGAAUAACAAGGAGUUGAAUCAACUAUUCAUUCAAAUAACAUCGAGUAUAUUUCUCAUCUAUUCUCGAGAAACAAGUAGCUGAUACUGAAAAACAUGAGCAACUUCCAUCAGAAGUUUCGCUCAAGUGAAAUGAUUACCGAUAGAACCGGCUUUAGAAUUUGAAGUUUGUGAUUCUCUUUCAUCUCAAAUUUAUAUAAACUAUAAAAAGACAAAAUAAUAGCCUACUUUGUGACCAAGAGGGCAACAUAGCUUAAAAGAUUCAUUUUCCACCAUUAGAUUUAUAACAAACUAUAUUUUUUAUAUACUCUAAAAUUCACAUAAAUGUUACUGAGUUUGCAAAAACCUCAUCAUGUGCCCGAAAUUUGUCUCUAGUCAUUGGUACUCUCAUUAGUACCCAUCUUUUGAAAUAGUGAAACUAAAUAAGUGUGGGAGGUGUUUUAGUGGCAAUCAAUGUCAAGCCCAUGCCUAAAAACACAGUACACAGACCAAACACUAUUGGGAGGGACACUAUUUCAUGCCUUCAUUUUAACUUUGUUUGGCUUCAUUAUGUUGUGUUAUAAGACAGAUGGUCACUCUCUACACAUGUUGGGAAUAGACAUUUAUACAUACAAAAAACACACAAAAAAGCAUAGGAUUUCUUUCAAUGUCCUUAGUUGUCUCUUUAACCUUCUUUCUAUCUUCCUACUACCCCUAAUUCAUCAUAGACUUAUAUAGUAGCAGUAGUACUAAUACAGCUGAAAGAAAUUUUUUUUUUUUCCUUCUGAUGUUUAAGGAUAGGACAAGUUUGCUCAUCAAAAGCCAAAGUAAAUCAAAAAAUACCAUAAAGGGUGAGAAGAAAACAAAGGAGGAAAUUUCACCAAAAGGGGUGUUGUGGAGUAGUAAAGAUCUCCUUUCUUUCUUUCUUUCUUUCUUUGAUAAGACGUCUAGAGUUCAAAUCUUGAAAAUAAAGGGUGUUUAGGAAUGAUAAUUUUUUUUUUCACUCUUGACGAGAAGUCUCGAGUUCAAAUCUUGAAAUAAAGUUUUCUCAUUGAAGAGCUCUCAAAAUUUUCAUCCAAAGGUGUGAUGGAAUGACAAAGGUUUCUACAUCCUUAACGAGAAGUCUCGAAUUCAAAUCCGGAAAACAAAGCUUUUUUGGCAAAACCCACUAACUUUAUUAACCAAACCAGAAGUUUCGAGUUCAAAUGAUGUUUUCAUAGGUAAGAAGCACUAAAACUCAACUCUCAUAGUAAAGCUCUAAACUUUUUUUCAAUUCGAAUCUGAAUUAAUAAAGUCAGUCAGUUUCGAAUAUUAAAUGAUUACAGAACAAAACAAUAUACAUAGUCCCUAGUUUACUCAAAAAUUUUCAAAAGUAUUAUCGCAUUCGUAUUAAAUUCUCCAAAAAUACGUUACUUUUGGAGGAUCCGACACUCUCCUAAUUACAUUUUUGAAGUGUCGGAUAGUACAUAGUUAGCUCAAACUUUUCAAAAAUGUUAUUGUAGUUAUAUCAGAUUCUCUUAAAAUACACUACUUUUGAAGAAUCCGUCACUCUUAGCCACUCAACUGAUAACAUUUUUAAAGAGUUCGAACAACACAGUAUACACAUUAUAUACACAUUAUAGGACACCUUUAUCACCAUUUUUCAGCCCAAAGUUUUCACCUUUUCUUGAUUCCAUAAAAAAAUGCACCAAAAAGACAAAAUCAAAACACCCUUUUAAGUUUCUUGAAAAUGGUAUUCAUCAAAAAUCCCAUCUUCAUCCUUCUUCCUAUACUAAUAUUAUCAAACACCUUGUGUCCAAUGAAUUUUUUUUUUCCGCAGAUUUUGGUUCAGUAGAUUUCAUGAAAAUGUCAGAAAUGCAAAUGCAGAUGGCUGGUUUUGUUUCUAGCUACUUUGGGGGUUGCAAAGUUCGAAUUUUUCUACUUGAAAUGGAAAUUUUCAGCUGUUUUUUCAUGUUUUCUUGAUUCGCCGGCGAGUUUGACGGAGGAAGUCGGUUGCCGGUGGUUGUUUGCGGCGGUAGACGGUGGUGAUAUUGGCGGGGACGGCUCAAUCUUUUCUCUCUCUCUGAAAAAAAAAAUGGUACUUUUAUUGUAUAUCAUUUUGAUAACUUGAUUUUUCAUUUCAUUUUUUUUUUCUAAAAUUUAAUUUUGGUUUUUUGAUGUUAUUAUUAUUACUAUUGUAGAAAAUUUGGAAUUAAUUGUAUUAUUAUUAUUAUUAUUAUUAUUAUUUCUUUUGGCAAAUAUUCUCAAGAAGAAUAUACAAUUAAAAUAGGAUUUAUGCAUAUUAUUACUUCAUUUAGUUGCUAGACAAUAUGACGAGUAAGUUUAUAUGUUUGAAAACUACAUGAAAAUAUUAUACGAUAUAAUAAUUAAUAAUAAAAAAAUAAUUAAGAUAUAUGGAAAGAUCGCUAUCAUUUUUUUUUGUUUUACUUAAAUCGAGGUUCUAUAUUCUUAAGUUACGAAUAAGGUUAUAUUUUGUUCAAAUUUUCAGAGUUAAAGUUUAUAUGUUUGGAAACUAAAUGAAAAUAUCAUACGACACAAUAAUUAAUAAUUAAAAAUCAUUAAUGUUAAUGAAAAGAACGUUCCUAUUUUUCAUUUGCUUUACUUGAAUCGAGGUUAUAUUCUGUUCUUUUAUUGAUGGUGGUGUUCUUGUACAAAUAUCGUUAUCGCAGAAAAAUCAGUUUGACUUUAAAAAUCAAUUUAAAUGAAAAAAAUAUUGAUUUGUUUUCAUAAAGAGAUGAAUUUGAAAUAUUAAUCUUUAUGUUGAAUAUUUUUUUUUUUUUCAAUUUAUUUUUAUUUGGUUUUGAGAUUUGGAUGUUUAAUGUGGGGUAGUUGAAUAGAGAGAUGAUGACAUAACCAAAGCUAGUAGGUGAAAUUACUAGGUUUGCACUUACUAAAAUAGGAUAAUAUAUAGUAGAAAUUUGGGUAAAACUUUUGCCAUAUUGGGUAUAUAUAUAUAUAUAUAUACUAGUUUAAGUGUACGCGUUUUGCGUGUGUAUCUUAUUUUGAUGAGUUCAAACAUUACACUAAAUAAGAUAUUUGUUUUAAUAAUAAAGAUGAAUACAAUAAUUAAAUUUAAUAUAUUUUGAGAAUGUAAAGAUGGAGAAUUUAUUUAUUAAAUCUAACCUUCAUCAAAAAUAUUUUUAAAAAUGGAUUUACAUUCAUCUAUCAUCUGUAAAUUGCAACAAAACAAUAUAAUGAUAGAGACAUCAAAACAAUACAAUUAAAUCUAAUAAUUACACACAAAAUUUUUCUCAAAAUCGUUCGACACUCAUCUACUAUCAGUAAACUAUAACAAAAUAAUAUGAUAAUAGAUAUAUCAAAAUAAUACAACUAAAUCUAACCUUUACAUAAAAAAAAAAUCCCAAAGCAGAGAUAUCAAAAUAAUACAAUUAAACCUAACUUUUAGCUAAAAAAUUCCUCAAAGCCGACCAACAUUUAUGUACCACCUGUAAACUACAACAAAGUAAUUCGAUAAAAGAGAUAUCAAAACAAUACAAUUAAACUUAAAUUUUACACACAAAAAUUUCUCAAAACCGAUCGACAUUCAUCUACGAAUUGCAAACUACGUACCCAAAAUAAUAAACUAAUAGAGACAUUAAGAUAAUACAAUUAAACCUAACUUUUACAAGUCAAACGACAUUCAUCUACCAUCUGUAAAUUAAAAUAAAAUAAUAAGAUAAUAAAAAUAUCAAAACAAUACAAUUACACCUAAUCUUUUGACAAGAAAUUCUUCAAAGUCAACCAACAUUAAUCUACGACUUGUAAACUACAACAAACAAUAUAGUAGGAAUCACAAAGUUUUGAUUUUAAUAAAAUUAAUUUUUAUUUGAUCGAAAAUUUUGACGCUAAAGAAUAACCCUAAAACUAAUUAUUGUUUUUAUAUUUGGAAAAGGAAAGUCUCCUUAGGCGGUGGACAGCUCAUGCAAAUAUACAGUCGAAGGUAUAGUAACUUUAAAUUAAUAUUAAUUAAUUUUUAUUUCAUAUAUUUUAGGAGUCCUAUAUAUUUUAGAAAGUUUAAUUAAUAUAAUAAAAAAAUAAUUAAAGAAAAUAGUGAAAAAAUAAUUUUGCCUGAAGGAGAGCUUUUUAACGAAGGGUAAAAAGUUUAAAUCACUUUUCUAAGGGUUUUUACACUUUUAAUAUAUUAUUAUAGAUAUAGAUUAUAGAUUGUAGAUAUAUAUAUUUAUAUAUAUUUAGUGUUAUAGAUUGUAGAUAUAUAUAUUUAUAUAUAUUUAGUGUUACGUUUGUAGUUUUUUUGUUUUUGAACUUUUGAUUGUUAUUUAUUGUUUUGAAUAGAUCGAUUUCACACGUAUAUAUAUAUAGUGUUAUGUUUGUAGUUUUUUAGUUUUUGAACUUUUGAUUGUUAUUUGUUGUUUUGAAUAGAUCGAUUUCACACAUAUAUAUAUAGUGUUACGUUUGUAGCUUUUUUGCUUUUUGAUUGACAUUUGUUGUUAUGAAUAGAUCGAUUUCAGUAUUAUGUAAUGAUAGUUCUCUAUUAUUCUGUUACUAUCUGGUGUUGUUUUACUUCCUGUUAUUUAUAGUAUUUUUAUUUGUCUUGAGCUACGGGUCUGUUGGAAAUAAUAUCUCUACAUCACUGUUCAUUGCACGAGCAGAGCCAUCUUUAGCUCAAGAGGUUCGUCUGAACCUCUUUCAAUGAAAAAUUACACUAUUUAUAUUGUUAAAUCUAUUUUUUAUGUAUGUAUAGUCGAUGUUAAACCUUCUUUGUUUGGUUUAUAUGUUUACUUCUGAACUCCCUUAUUAAAAAUUCUAACUCCGUCAUUGCUGUUGAGACAAUAAUACGAGCUGUGUAUAUUCUAUUCUUUCCAAACCUCAUUUUUCUGAGAAUAUAUUGGGUAGAUUAUAGUAAUAAUAGUACAAGAUUUUAUUUUCUUUUUAAAAAAAUAUUUAAUAAUUUAUAUCAUGAUUUCAUAUCCUUGAAUUUUUAUUUUAUUUUUAAAAAUCAUUUUGUUUUCUUCUAUGCACGUGAAUUUUGGGAGUGAUUUUUUGUUUUGUAUUUUUAUGGGGUCCUAAAUUGAGUUGAGAAUUUUCCAUGAAAUGGACUAAAUUUUGGACCUAUUGUGAUCUUGAAAUAUGAUUUUGGGUGAUUUUUGUCUUUUUUGAAACUUACAAAUUAUAUCUGGUGCUUCUUAAAUAUAAAAUAUUUUGCAUUUUUGAAUUUUUUUUAAUGUUAUCUCAGUGUAAACUUAUACGUCACAAGGUUAGUGACGGAAUCAAAAUUUUUAUUGAGGUAAAUAUACGAAUUAGUCGGAAGGGGUUCAACAUCUACUAUAUAUACAUAAAAAAAUAUGUUUUAACAUGUAAAAAGUAUAAAAAUAGUAUAAUCUUUCGUGGAAUGAACCCUUGAAUGAAAAGUGCCAUUAAUACUAGAAAUUUGUCAGUAAGAUAAGGCUAGAAAUUUAUUUACAGGUAUGUAUCAUACAUAAACUUUGAUUUUUCACAUGAAUGUAAAACUGUAAAAUUGUUUUUAACAAUAAAAAUAAAUAAUUGUUCAAUAAACAGCCAAUUUUGCAGACUGAACCAUUAAAAAGAACAUAUCUUACACUGUUCUCUCCAUUUUUUUUGGGUCCCAUUUUCUGGCUAAGAUUUAACUAUAUUCAAAAAAAAAAAAAAAAAUUGUGAUUUUUUUUUUUUCAAUUGCAAUUACCUAAAAAAAAAAGAAAAAUUGGAGUUACUUUAUGUCAGAAGAUGUUGAUAGUUUGUUGUCCUAUAUUUAUAUAUGAAAUGUUUUAUUGGCAAUAUAAUAGUGAAAAAAUAUGAAAAAAAAUAAAAUUAAUACUAUUAACUAUCCAGAACCAUAGACAAGGUACUCGUUAAAAAUAACAUAAUCAUAUGCGAAAUACUGAAUUUCUAUCGAUGCCAUCUAUCGAGGAAUAUAAUGACAUUCCACGGCUCGCAUACUAGAAAUUAAGAUUAUCUGCAUAUAUCCUAUUCUUCUCAGAUCUAAUUCGUAGGAUUACACCGAAUAUAUUAUUUAUUAUUGUUGUUAUUUAUUACUUCUAUUGUCAACUGAGAGGUUUUAAGAGUCAUCGCACCAAAGGAUGUGAUGCAAUGAGUGAGACUACUCCUCCCUUAAUCAAAGGUCUAGAGUUCGAGCCUUGGGUAUGAAAAAUUCUUGGUAGAAAGCCCUACUCCGAAUGGGCCCUACCCGACGCGAAUUUGAAUUAAUCAGACUAUCGACCAUCGGAUGGGAAACAAAAAAAAAAAAAGAGAGGUUUUAAGAGUCAAAUGUUUUAUAAGGUCAUUGGGAACUUUUUUAGGUCAACUCCAUCAACCUAGAAAUAUGAUUUCUUUGUCAAUUAGAGAUUAAUCAUCACAAUGAGAAUGUCAACUCAAAUUUCAAACCACAACUUGCACUAUAGGCCAUAAUUACUAUGUUUGACAUGUCUAACUAGUGUCAACACAACCAAAUAAUUGAUGAAUGAUAAUACACCACCAAAAGUUGCAAAGAAAUGAAUGGAAUCUUAUCCAAUCUUAAUUAGAGAGCUCAGGUUCGAGUCUUGUUCUGCUAUACUAUAUUAGUUGAUGAAUACAAACUCGACUAAUAUAAUAGAAAGUAAUCUAAAACUCUCAAAAUGGAAAAAUCAUAGAGAACGUAUCGCCCUCUAAUGGGGCUAAUGUGACGCCAAUUCAGAUUAAUUGAAACUCCAAUACGAGUAUAAGGAACCAACAUUUUAUCGUCACCAUUCAAUAGCUCUAGAUUUUUUCCAUGGAUGGUUAUGUUUCCACUCAUGCUAUUUGCACACUUACACUUGCCUUAAACAACAUAUAUAGUGAGUGACAUUCCACAAGUGGUGUCUAGGAACGACAGUGUGUAUGCAAACCUUGCCCCUACCUCGCGGAGGUAGAGAGGUUGUUUCUGAAAAGACCCUCGGCUCAAGUGUAGCGAAUCAAAGUUACACUUACCUUAAACAUGUCAUGAAUUUGCUUUCAAAGCACAGUGAGUCCAUAGUUGUUGCAGCAAAUCUUACCUUCUUUACAAAUUCUGCUUUCAACAAUCUACCUAUUGCAAAGAUAUUAAGCACAAAGAACCGGUUUACACAUCAGCAUCGCACAUUCAAUACUGGAAACAGCACGAUAAGAUGGAAAAUAACGAAGUUUAUUAGCCACCAAGUCAUAAACACGAAAUCUCAAAGAAAUCAACUUCAGAGAAAACCAUGGUCAAUCGAUUUAUUCCUUUAGCAGCUUCUUGUGUGUAUGGUGAAAGUGAAAUGAACAAGGAGACAAACCAAAAAUACCGGUUUCUAAUGGCCUAUUCAAUGAAUACUUCAAUAACAAUAUCCGUCUAUAUAAAACUCAGCUGGCUUAAGUGGUUCAAUUCUACCGUCUAUAUGAACUCAGCUGGCUUCAGUGGUUCAAUUCUAUCGGCUAUAUGAACUCAGCUGGCAUCAGUGGUUCAAUUCAAUAGUCUCAACCCAUCAAGAUUGGGGGGGGGGGGGGCUGGGAGGGGAACUACGGUGGAAAGAAUCACAGUCCACCAUCUUUUUUUUAAUACUGAGAAAUUCAUCCGGAAUAGACCUUUAGGACCAAUUGCAACCUGAGAUACUCGGGGAAGAUGAACCCAUCCCUCUACGCUUUUCUACUUAAAUACCAGUGUUUAGGCGGCCACCAUUUGUCAUUGAUUGUUCACAAAAUCUGCUGCACCAUGGGGCCGAGAUCACCCAGAUAUUUAUGACCGAGAAAUCUGUUAGGAGCCAACCCUUCAUGCUAACUACAAACUUCUAAACUUCAAGUAUGAUGGGGCCAUCCUUCUACCCUUCCCCACUUAAAUGGUCCACUUAGUUAGCUUGGCAUAAGACGCGAACUUGUAACCUAAGACAAAUCCCUCAACCAUUGCAAACCCCUGAGGGCCUCCGGUGAUAAUCCAAUUAUAAUGCAAUACCGUGUUUCCCUUCUUAGUAACAUUAAGAUUCAGAAACAACAUCACAUACAUAUUCAGAACUCAUUCAGGGUCUUGCAGCAGCAUAUAUCCAAGCAGAUAAGCUCGCUGAAGAUUGGUAUCAUAACACACUAGUAGGACUACCAAUUAGGCAGAACAACAUAGCCAGUGCAAUCCCAUAAGUGGGGUUUCGGGAGGGUACUUUGUACGCAGACCUUAUCCCAUAUCUUGGGAGGUAGAGAGGUUGUUUCCGAUAGACCCUCAGCUCAAGGACGACUACCAAAAAACAAAAUGUCCUGGCCAAGCAAACAAUCUACUGAAAAUGGCAUGUCAAUUAAAAUUAACGUAAGUAUGACAUAUGACAUUAGAAUUAGAGUUACUGUUGAGUACAAAUGAUCAGCCACAAAAGUUUGAGCAAUUACUCACGAGUAUCAGCAAGUCAAGUCAUUGGAAAGAAUGUUAUCAGGUUAGAAACUAAAAUUAUGAAUCAACAAGCAUUGCCAUAUCUCUGGAAGCUUCCUGUGUCGAUGGUCAAAGAAUUCUGUGGUUCCCUUUUUUGUUUUCUGUCUGCACGACAGUGACACAUAAUGAUUAGGGGGAGGAUAUUUUCUCCCUAUAAUGCACAAACGUACACAAGACAAAUUAAAUUCAGCAUUUUCCCCCAUUUUGUCAAUAUCCGUCUGUAGGUGAAGAUUUCAGCGCAUUUUUAAGCUUCUCUUAUUUUUGGUUUUAUAUAUUAAAAGAAAGUGUCUAGAUGUUGAAUGAAUAAUAAUUUGGAUAUUUAUCCAUCACAUAUCGAAAUUGUUACAUUCCCGCCUUCUUUGUAUUGAUAUAGCCCUCAAAACCAGCAAGUCUACAGAUAUUGGAGAGGACAAUUAUAGCUUAGAAGUAUAACCUACUCUUGUUCAAGAAAUCUUGUGGGACCAGCAUAUAUAGUUUGAAUAUAUGUCCAUUUGAGAGACCACUAUAUGAACUACACAUACCCAGUGUAACUCACAAGUGGGAUCAGGGGAAGGUGUGUUGUGUACGUGACCUUACCCCUACUUGUGAAGGUAGAUAGAUAGGUUGUUUCCGAUAGACCCUCAGCUCAAGCAAAGAUGUUCAUAAAUGGAUCAGGAUGUGUUAUAACUAUGGAAAUUCUGCAGAAAAGUUGUGUUUCAUGCCCUUCUUCCCAGUAACAUCAAGAGUCAAAACAAGCACUAAAGCACAAAUCUAAAAGAUGAUUGUGGAAUUGGACAGCAGCAUAAAUACAAUACAUAUAAGCUCCCUGCAGAUCGGCUAGUAGGAACCUUUGGCAGAAUAGCAUCAAACAUAAAAAGUCUAGCCCGGCAACCAAUAUGCUGGAACUGGCAUGCAAUCGUCUGUCUGAUCUAACCUAAGCACAGCAUAGUAGUAUACAUCCCAGCACAACUACUUAACUUCGUAUGAUAAUACUUCUUUCUUCCUUGUUCUUUUAUAGACCUCCUCCUUCUUUUUCUUUUCUUUUCUUUGAGGAAAGUAAAAUAUAUUAUUGAUGAAAAAAAAGCACUAGCACUUUAUGAUAAUGAUUCUAUAGUAAGUAUCUAACAUGACACUUAGGUUGUAGUUAAUUAUAAAUUCCAGGUAGAAAGUAAAGUUUUGAGUUAUUAGUGUAGAUCCCAGCUAUCUCGAGGAAAGGUCGGUAACAACAAGCCUGUCUCUUUUAUCAUAUAUAUGAAAUGGCGACAUUCUUAAGAAAAAGGUGAUCCACUAGCAGUUGUAGGGCGAGGCUCCUAGCAAUGGAGGGAAAGGGGACUGGGUAAGCGAACUCCUUUCACUUGAUUAGUAGUUAGGAGUGAUUUUUUUUGCACAUCCUCUGCCCUUUUUCUCUUUCAAAAUAGAAGGAUUGGCAUUUGGCCAAAGAUGUAAUCUCUCUUUUCUUGGUUGCAGUGGAACUUUAUUUUCAUUUAGCAAGGAACCGUGUCAUUCGACGUCAAAUAAUCAACGCCCAAAGCGUUAGGCAUCUUUUGAGCAUGUUCAGCAUCCAAAAUUCCUGGAGUUACGCUAAGGCAUUAUAACAGAAGGAUGACAUGACUAUCUGAACAGAAAUUAAAAUUACGACAUCGGCUGUGAUUUUAGACUCACUGAAGAAACCCAUUCACUCUAUUAACAGGUAGUGCUUGCAACCCCACAUCCCAAGAGC
Molecule: long non-coding RNA, 16488 nt
Filed under: Capsicum annuum
Lineage: Eukaryota; Viridiplantae; Streptophyta; Magnoliopsida; Solanales; Solanaceae
Description: long non-coding RNA (CANN_LNC021251)
Source: RNAcentral